GGCUAGGACAAUGAGGACGUUGUGAAGUGGGUCAGAUCUGGAAGGAAGCAGCCCUAAGCGAUGUUCCUCAUGUGUUCGAUUAUAU
RNAcentral lists this signal recognition particle RNA (85 nucleotides) under Enterococcus eurekensis. Its description in RNAcentral is "signal recognition particle sRNA small type". It matches the Rfam family "Bacterial small signal recognition particle RNA". From Rfam's summary of the family: The signal recognition particle (SRP) is a universally conserved ribonucleoprotein involved in the co-translational targeting of proteins to membranes. RNAcentral also lists the same sequence under 1 other name. Lineage: Bacteria; Bacillati; Bacillota; Bacilli; Lactobacillales; Enterococcaceae. The record is from RNAcentral.